This 492-nucleotide ribosomal RNA is filed under the name uncultured bacterium. RNAcentral's name for it is "partial 16S ribosomal RNA". It matches the Rfam family "Bacterial small subunit ribosomal RNA", at positions 29 to 507 of the family's 1533-position model. The record is from RNAcentral.
AGUGAACGCUGGCGGUAGGCCUAACACAUGCAAGUCGAACGGCAGCACAGUAAGAGCUUGCUCUUACGGGUGGCGAGAGGCGGACGGGUGAGGAAUACAUCGGAAUCUACUUUUUCGUGGGGGAUAACGUAGGGAAACUUACGCUAAUACCGCAUACGACCUACGGGUGAAGGCAGGGGAUCUUCGGACCUUGCGCGAUUGAAUGAGCCGAUGUCGGAUUAGCUAGUUGGCGGGGUAAAGGCCCACCAAGGCGACGAUCCGUAGCUGGUCUGAGAGGAUGAUCAGCCACACUGGAACUGAGACACGGUCCAGACUCCUACGGGAGGCAGCAGUGGGGAAUAUUGGACAAUGGGCGCAAGCCUGAUCCAGCCAUACCGCGUGGGUGAAGAAGGCCUUCGGGUUGUAAAGCCCUUUUGUUGGGAAAGAAAAGCAGCAGGUUAAUACCCCGCUGUUCUGACGGUACCCAAAGAAUAAGCACCGGCUAACUUCGUG